Molecule: transfer RNA, 105 nt
Filed under: Coniochaeta sp. 2T2.1
Lineage: Eukaryota; Fungi; Ascomycota; Sordariomycetes; Coniochaetales; Coniochaetaceae
Rfam family: tRNA
About the family: Transfer RNA (tRNA) molecules are approximately 80 nucleotides in length. Their secondary structure includes four short double-helical elements and three loops (D, anti-codon, and T loops).
Source: Rfam by way of RNAcentral
GCGGGUUUAGCUCAGUUGGGAGAGCGUCAGACUGAAGUCAAAACUUCACCAAGUUAACACACCAGUUACAUCUGAAGGUCGUGUGUUCGAUCCACACAAACCGCA